This 466-nucleotide ribosomal RNA is filed under the name uncultured Archaeospora. RNAcentral describes it as "SSU rRNA". It matches the Rfam family "Eukaryotic small subunit ribosomal RNA", at positions 569 to 1039 of the family's 1831-position model. The record is from RNAcentral. Lineage: Eukaryota; Fungi; Glomeromycota; Glomeromycetes; Archaeosporales; Archaeosporaceae.
AGCAGCCGCGGUAAUUCCAGCUCCAAUAGCGUAUAUUAAAGUUGUUGCAGUUAAAAAGCUCGUAGUUGAAUUUUAGGCCUGGCCGGGCGGUCCGUCUUUGGCGAGUACUGUCCUGUGUCGGGUCCACCUUCCGGUGAACCAGUAUGUCCUUUAUUGGGUGUGCCGGGGAGCCAGGACCAUUACCUUGAAAAAAUUAGAGUGUUUAAAGCAGGCAUUUGCUUGAAUAGAUUAGCAUGGAAUAAUAGAAUAGGACGUUGUGGUUCUAUUUUGUUGGUUUCUAGGACCACCGUAAUGAUUAAUAGGGAUAGUUGGGGGCAUUAGUAUUCAAUUGUCAGAGGUGAAAUUCUUGGAUUUAUUGAAGACUAACUAUUGCGAAAGCAUUUGCCAAGGAUGUUUUCAUUAAUCAAGAACGAAAGUUAGGGGAUCGAAGACGAUCAGAUACCGUCGUAGUCUUAACCAUAAACUA